RNAcentral lists this long non-coding RNA (1300 nucleotides) under Anas platyrhynchos platyrhynchos (common mallard). RNAcentral's name for it is "lncRNA (ENSAPLG00000023243.1)". Lineage: Eukaryota; Metazoa; Chordata; Aves; Anseriformes; Anatidae. The record is from RNAcentral.
AUGUUUAAAGUGCUUUUCUUUUCUACUUUUUACAAAGCAGUACAGAAACAACAAAAGGAAAAAAUGAAAAAAAAUAAAAAAAUAAAAAAACUUUGCCCGCUCCGCCGCGAGGUGCCCGGGCGCCGCCCCCGCCGCAAAGUUUCACUCGGCGAGCUGCCGGCUGCGGGCACGGCUCCCCGGGGACGGCGCCCCCAGCCCCAUCGCCCGCUGCUCCCCGCGGGAUGCGGCCGGAGAAGGAGGAGGAGGAGGAGGAGGAGGAGGAGGAAGCGGGCGGGCACCAGGGAGCCCGCGGCGGGACGGGGCAGGGAAGUUUCCCCUCUCCCCGGGGAAAAGCGCGGCUCCCCGGUGCCAGGUGCCCGGUGCUGUCCCCGGUGCCCGGUGCCGGUGCCGUCCCCGGAGCCUCCCCGCGCCGCUCUGCCUCCGGCCCCGCCGGGCGGGCGCUUUGUAGGGAGCCCGGUCCCGCCCCGGCGGGCUGCGGGGCUCCGAGGCCGGGAAGGAGGAGCCGGCGGGCGGGGAGCGGCGCCCGGCGGAGCUCCGGGGGCUGUGGAGGCUGUGGGGGCACGGGGGGCUCGACAGUGGGGCAGGACACCCUGCCGACCCCUUGUGAGAGCCAGGCGGGAGCACGGAGUGAUUCACCCGGGUGGGUUUUGCCUCAGAGACAAGGACACUUUUAUGAUUCAGCCUUUUUUUCUUUUUUCUCUUAUUCAUUUUUUUUUUUUCGCUUAUUCUGGGGUUUUGCGGCUGCCCGCCCACUCCUAGUGUCCAGCCUGGGCUGGCACUGUUUAGGUACCCGCUGCUCACACUUUCCAUUCAAGCCAAGUAAAGCCAGAUGGGCUUGGGAGAGAGGGAAACUCUUGCCUGCAUGGGAGCUCCCCACAUUUGUAAGUCGGGCGCAUCUUUUGGGAAGAAAAAAAUGUGCUUCUCUGGAGUUGGUAGCAGCUUUUAUUUGAUUUUCCAAAAUUGACUGGACUUCAAAGUUACCAUCACCUUUUCUUACCAUUAUUUUACCUAGCACUUCUCCUGAAAAGACAGAAAGCUACUGAGUUUGGCAUCGUCAUACCUAAAUUUACUUCAGGCAGCACUCUCCUGGAGAUGGGUAGUGACCUAGGAGCUUCCAUCCACCCUGCAAUAGGCCCUCAACUCUUAUGUGCAUGCACUUUAUUGUGCUGUACAGUGCAGAGCAUUUGUCAGUUCUCAGUGUUCACUUUAUGACUACACUCCUGCCUGAAGCUGCAGCGGCUUCCACACUGAAUAGACUCAGUUACCACCUUGCCCUAGCAAGAGGACAUUUUAUGCCACC